CCACACCAGAAUUUCCAGGAAGAAAUAGAGUUUCUUAAUGCAAUUUUCCCAAAUGGAGCAGCAUAUUGUAUGGGAUGUAUGAAUUCUGACUGUUGGUACUUAUGUACUCUGCAUUUCCCAGAAAGGUAAUCAGUCAGCCAGAUCAAACCCUGGAAAUUCUGAUGAGUGAGCUUGACCCUGCAGUUAUGGACCAGUUCUACAUGAAAGAUGGCGUUACUGCAAAGGAUGUCACUUGUAAGAGUGGAAUUCGUGACCUGAUACCAGGUUCUGUCAUUAAUGCCACAAUGUUCAAUCCUUAUGGGUAUUCGAUGAAUGGAAUGAAAUCAGAUGGAACUUAUUGGACUAUUCACAUGACUCCAGAACCAGAAUCUUCUUAUGUUAGCUUUAAAACAAACUUAAGUCACCUCCUAUGGUGACCUGAUCAGGAAAGUUGUGGAAGUCUUCAAGCCAGGAAAAUUUGUGACCACUUUGUUAAUCAGAGUUCUAAAUGUCACACCAUGUUUUCUUCACCUCAAAGAUUGAAGGUUUAAAGCGUCUUGAUUGCCAGAGUGCUAUGUUCAAUGAUUACAAUUUUGUUUUUACCAGUUUUGCUAAGAAGCAGCAAUAACAGCAUAGUUGAUUAAGAAAAAUGAAGAAAAAAAUGCAGAGAGAGAACACACAUAAGAAGGUGGUGGAUGCUUUCUAGAUGUUGAUGCUGGGGGCAGUGCUUUCCAUAACCACCACUGAGUAGUUGCAGAAAGCCCUAUAUGUAAUGAUAGUGUAAUCAUUUUGAAUUGUAUGCAUUAUUAUAUCAAGGAAUUAGAUAUCUCGCAUAAAUGCUCUCUUCCGUGUUUAGGUAUUCUCUGCCACCCUUGCUGUGAAAUUGAAGUGCAUGUAGAGAAAACCUUUUACUGUAUGAAACUUUAUAACACUUGUGAGAGCAAUUCAAUUUGGUUUAUGCACAGUAUAAUAUUUCUCCAAAUAUAAUCCAAAAUUCCCCACAGACAAAGCUUUCAUCCUCAUUAAGUGUUGGCCUCAGCCUAACUGUCUGGGACCGUUCUAUUAAAUUGCUGCCAUAAUUUUACAUCCAGUUACCUCCACUUUCUAGAACAUAUUCUUUACUAAUGUUAUUGAAACCAAUUUCUACUUCAUACAGAUGUUUUUUGAAACAGCAAUUAAAGUUUUUCUUCCA
RNA transcript from Cercocebus atys (sooty mangabey), 1171 nucleotides. It is a transcript of the gene named S-adenosylmethionine decarboxylase proenzyme pseudogene, with no coding region annotated. The record is from RefSeq and is a predicted model, not a curated record. NCBI's taxonomy places the organism in Eukaryota, Metazoa, Chordata, Mammalia, Primates, Cercopithecidae. The transcript has a single exon.